AUGAGAGUCAAAUGGUCGAUCAGAGAGAUCAUAUUUUCCAUUUCCCUGGGUACGGUACAGGUCCUGGAACAAAGCAGAGCCAAAAGCACAUAUGCAUCAUUCGUGAAUGUACUUCAGAUGCACAGAGAGUGGCCAUGGUAUAUCCCCCUCUUCUCUUGUCAACUUCCUAUGGCUCCUUUACUUGCUAUUUUGCUUUUUUCUUUUUUACAGAGAAGCAGCAAUGUAGAACUGUCUCCAUAUGAGACGGAUUGGUUCUUGUCUUGUUCAUGGAAAGUUGAACAAGAACGCAGAGCAAGCGACUUGAAUUUAUCUUGCCAGGAACCAUACGUCAAGUGUAUGAAUGUGGUGGCAUGA
RNAcentral lists this ribosomal RNA (354 nucleotides) under Triticum aestivum (bread wheat). Its description in RNAcentral is "partial small subunit ribosomal RNA". Lineage: Eukaryota; Viridiplantae; Streptophyta; Magnoliopsida; Poales; Poaceae. The record is from RNAcentral.